GAUGAACGCUAGCGGCAGGCUUAAUACAUGCAAGUCGUGGGGCAGCGCAGGUAGCAAUACUGGGCGGCGACCGGCAAACGGGUGCGGAACACGUACACAACCUUCCGAGAAGUGGGGAAUAGCCCAGAGAAAUUUGGAUUAAUACCCCGUAACAUAACGAUGUGGCAUCACAUUGUUAUUAUAGCUUCGGCGCUUCUUGAUGGGUGUGCGGCUGAUUAGAUAGUUGGCGGGUAACGGCCCACCAAGUCUACGAUCAGUAGCUGAUGUGAGAGCAUGAUCAGCCACACGGGCACUGAGACACGGGCCCGACUCCUACGGGGAGGCAGCAGUAAGGAUAUUGGUCAAUGGACGCAAGUCUGAACCAGCCAUGCCGCGUGAAGGAUGAAGGCCUU
This 392-nucleotide ribosomal RNA is filed under the name uncultured bacterium. RNAcentral describes it as "bacterial SSU rRNA". It matches the Rfam family "Bacterial small subunit ribosomal RNA", at positions 28 to 418 of the family's 1533-position model. The record is from RNAcentral.